CCUACGGUGGGCAGCAGUGAGGAAUAUUGGUCAAUGGGCGCGAGCCUGAAUCAGCCAAGUAGCGUGAAGGAUGACUGCCCUACGGGUUGUACACUUCUUUUAUAAAGGAAUAAAGUGAGGCACGUGUGCCUUUUUGUAUGUACUUUAUGAAUAAGGAUCGGCUAACUCCGUGCCAGCAGCCGCGGUAAUACGGAGGAUCCGAGCGUUAUCCGGAUUUAUUGGGUUUAAAGGGAGCGUAAAUGGGUUGUUAAGUCAGUUGUGAAAGUUUGCGGCUCAACCGUAAAAUUGCAAUUGAUACUGGCAGUCUUGAGUACAGUUGAGGUAGGCGGAAUUCGUGGUGUAGCGGUGAAAUGCUUAGAUAUCACGAAGAACUCCGAUUGCGAAGGCAGCAUACCGGCGCCCGACUGACGCUGAGGCACGAAAGCGUGGGGAUCGAACAGGAUUAGAUACCCUAGUAGUC
Molecule: ribosomal RNA, 460 nt
Filed under: uncultured bacterium
Lineage: Bacteria
Description: partial 16S ribosomal RNA
Rfam family: Bacterial small subunit ribosomal RNA
Source: RNAcentral